Long non-coding RNA from Ceratina calcarata, 5070 nucleotides. RefSeq lists it as uncharacterized. The transcript is spliced from 3 exons. NCBI's taxonomy places the organism in Eukaryota, Metazoa, Arthropoda, Insecta, Hymenoptera, Apidae. The record is from RefSeq and is a predicted model, not a curated record.
CACGUAUACCAACGGAUAAAUAAUCCUGUUUCUCGUCUAUUCGCAUUUUUUAAAAGCUGUUGCUAUUCGCUGUAUAUCUCUUACUUCUUUUAUUAACGUUUAGUACGAGUGUGGAUUUUAUAUGUGCUUUCUUUCUACGCGUUACGUACCAUAGUAAUUACCAAACUAUUCACAAUGAGAUUUAUUUAACUUGGAAAACAUUAGAUCAGAUACUGCCUACAUUGUUUUAAGCUCAUAAACAAGUUGAACGCACAAUAAAUGAUUAAAUGUUAGAUCUAUUAGGACACAGGCCUGUGUUGGGACGUUGAAGGAAACUCUCAUGAAAGAGAGAGACCUCACCCACUUCCUGACCUCCUCUCUUUCUCUUUCCCAAUGUCAAAACCAAUACAGUGCAUACAAUAGAUAAAAAUCUAUCCUUUACACUUUAGAGGCUGUACUCUACUACAUUAACUACUUUAAACAAGUUUAAUUCUCUAGGAUCAUGCUUAAAGUAAUUCUUUAGUUCAAGAAAGAAAAUUCUAUAGCUCACUCCAGCCGAGCCUUUUCGUUUUUCGAAAAUACGACAAUUCUGUUAAUCCCAAUAUAACUUUCAUCUGCUGUGCAAUAAAUGAGCCCUUUUGGAGGUUCUCCUCUUUUUCUACCUGCCUUGGGUUAAGUCGAAUUUAAUCUGCCUCGGACUGCCUAAACACUAUUACAACACGGUUUACAAUACUUGGUGCCUAUCUGCAGUACCUUUCCGAGCUAUAAACUUGCACAGUAAAUGUAAUAGUUGAUAGUUCUUACAUUGAGUGAACAAAAAAUACCUUGACCAUCUCGAAAAUCUCACUUCUUUUUUAUAAUAUCAAAAAAAUGUUAAGCGGAAAUAUUGUUCGGUUUGACGGGGCGAAUAAACAUGAUAAACAGGUAAUUUUUCUCGAGGUAUUACUUUUCGAGAUUUUUAGGCGAAUUUCGUUUCUUUACAUGGAAUUAUAGUACACAUUUUAAUACAUCGUUCGAUGCUGCGCGUUAUGUUCUACACAAAUGUAUUAAAUCACUUAUGUCGAAAAAUCAUUAGUUUAAAACGUAUUAUCAUGUUGGAAAGAUAGUAUUAUUUUUAUUUGUAAGAAUGUCUAAGAAGAUCUUUAAUUUUUCUUACCAAAAAAUUUCAAUCAAAAUGUCGCGGAGAGUUGAAGAAUCAUUUAGAAAUCGAAUAAACAUUGGCAUUCAGACUGAAGGGCAUAGCCUCGAACACCGACAUCAGAAAAGUAAGUGUAUAUAAAAUACUUACGUGAUCAGCUACACAUACAACAGAAAUAAUAUCUUUUAAAAUUCUAAACUAAUAAUUUUUCGUCGUUAGCAACUUAAUAAUUUUGUACAAAGAAUAAUAACGAGCUGCAUCGAAUGGUCAUUAAAAAGUGUACGUAUAAAAAUGUAUAUCUGUAAGUAUAAUUUUUUUUUUUUUUUGUUAAUUGUCGACAUAAAUGUACGGAAGUCUUGUUUCAAAAUUGGUUGCUACUAAAAUGAAUUUAAUCAAUUUCGAGGAAAAUAUACGUUGUAACGUUUUAAAAAGUGAAGAGUUUCUUUGGACAAGUUAUCACAGCUCGUCGCACGAAGCUUGGUUAACUGUUUAAAAAUAAGCAGUAACCGAUUGUCGGAUCAAUUUAUUUUGUUAGAACGUUACAUAAAAUGGACACGCACGAUGACGUAAAUGGGAGAAGAAAAAAGAGUAGGGUUCAUAAUAGGUCAUGGGCUUACGUGGGACGUGGGGUGUGAAUAGACAGGGAAUUGCUAGUAAUAAAAAUUGGUUGCCACGGAAGAGGUGUUUAUAAUUCGUUCAGCGAGACGAGGCAUCAGAAAAACCAAAUAUCAGCAGGAAAAAAGGGACGAAGCAUGAAGAGUGAUGGUAAUUAUGGAUAAUCGUGAAAACAAACGAGCCACUUUCUAAGAGAGCACAUAAACAGCUUCGAGCAAUCUAUUCGACUUUAUUUCGAAACACGGACUACAGACCGAAGAGAAAGUCUCUAAAUAGAUGUAAUCUUUGCUUGUGUAUCACACAGAAGGAUGAAUUAAUUGAUUUAUCGUUUAUUCGUUAAUUGACUCGGCGUCUACAGGAAAGUGGCAACCUGAUAAAAAUGAGAAAAAUUCUUUCUGGUCAUCUUUUUCCAUCUCCCUUCACUGUACAUGGUUUCCUUAAAUUUACAUAUGUUUACUUAAUGGAAAUUAAUAUACAUAUAAUGUAAUGAGAAGUUUCUGAACAAAAAUGUGUAAAACUAUAAAACCAGUUGAGAAUUUGGAGACGUGGGAUAGUCGGCUUGCAAAGGCACUUGCGUGGGCAACAACGAGAAAGCUGGUACCCUAUCUAUACGUGAAUACAUAGUCGUUCGUGUCUGUGUGAAUCGUGUAGAAGGCGUCACGUUUUUCUUCUUUGUGUUCCCCUAAGAUGUGUAGCUUACGUGAUCGUUCACACGAACUCACAAGCGUAAGAAUAUCAGAUAAAAGAGUUGGACUGUUUGAAAUUCGUAUUACUUGCGUUGUUGUGAAAUACACGUUAUCAUCGAGAGUAUAAAAGUAUGUUAUCAUCAACCAAAAUUAAUAAUUAGAAACCAGCAAUAAAUAUGAACAUGAAACAACAACUAAAUAUUCUAUUCACGUAUCUAUAUUGUAUAUUUUUAGUUUGUAUCGAAACCUCGCAUAGACUUUGAGCAAAAACACUAGACUUUAAGGAAAAUUGAAAAAUUGAAUUCGUUCCAAAUUAGAUUCGAUGUCUGGAAAUCGAAUAUUUUUCAUACCAAAGCCUCAAACAUGUUAUAAUUAGAAAACAUGUGUUAAUUAUUAGAUUAGUGUUGUAAUCGUAAGAUUCUAAUACAUAUGAAAUAACAGCUAUUAUUAAAGGAUUGUAUAAUUAUCCAUUGUGCGCGUUAAUUUCACUGGACAAGCAUUAUAGUAUAGGAUUGCAUUAUCGUUUCUUAACAUUGUUUACGCAUUUUCUCUCUUAUCGUUGGAUUCCAAGUUGGAUCGUUAUCCGUUUAUCACAGUCAGUCAGUUUGUCACAGUUAUUAGUAUUAUCAAUAUCGACGCAAUAGGAACGUUGAGAAUUACGUGCGUUUUUAAGGAAUUCAAUAGUCUGUCCCUACACCAGGCCUCCAUGCCAUGGCAGAUGUUUUUUCGGAGGGCGACGGCAACCAUCGCGUCACAAUGAGUGUAUCCUUUCCAAAAGGUUUCCCCUGUUGCCAGAUUUUCACUACCGAAGCCCUUCCUUUGUUCAGACAAAAAUUCUUGAUACUAUACCCAUGCAACCAAGCCAACCGAAAUAAUUAUCAGUGUAGUAACAAUUCAUUAUUAUCAUCCUGUUUUCUAUUCUCAUAAGGUUUUGUAUUUUUUAUGUCUACGCUACUAUACAUACUAUUUAGUAAUGUACGAUGCUGAAAAUGCGUAGUAGAUCAUAAAAACAGUCAACUGAUUGUAGAUUAUUUUUAGUAAAAAUAGUAAAAAAUAGGUGCAUUCUAAUCUAAUCAGGUAGUUAAUAAAAACGAUUAAACAUCUUGAUAAGACUUGAAAAAGUCGACACUAACGAUCUUCGAACUUGUUUAGCUUCCAACUGUAGAAUGUUACAUCAGAAAGUGUUUCCAAUACCUGAACUCUCUUUUAUUUUUGCUGUUUACUUAGCAAGUAUCAUGCGAUGUUUUCACAUGCAGUGUUUCGCCAUAAAUAAACGAUUUCUACUUAUAGCCUUAAAUAAUAAUCCAAGAUAAAUACCUAUAUGAGACUGAUAACACGAAGUAACAGCAAUAACAGUCAUGUACUACUAUAAAUCAAUCUCUUUUAUAUACUUUUUAAUUCCUUCGACAUUAUUGUCGUUAUUAAAAUUGAAAUAAACGAAUUUAACGAAACUAACUAACUAAAAUAUGCUUUUUAAUCUGUUUUAAAAAAUUUUCAUAAAAUGUAUUAACAAUUCAUUUUAUACUGUGAACGCACAUAACUGAAUUUUUUUCAAAUAUUAGCCAACAGUGAACACAUUGUGAACUUGAUCCCAUCGCUACUUCCCUUCUGUCGUACUUUCCCCACCAGCUGCAAGCCCAGAGCUCCUUACACAAUUUUCCCAUGCCUUCCCACGCUCUGUUCUACUCUACACAGAGACAGACACGCGAGUCACGAACAUAUUUACUGGCAUGUAAUCAACAAAUGUAUAACGCCCACAAUAUGCUAGCCUUUUACGUUUUCCAGAUUUUUAUCAAAAAUUAAGAAACAGUAUUAUUUUUCACAUUAAACAGCUAUCAUAGAUGUUAUGCGAGUAUCGUUUUAUCAUCGUUACAAGAGUGAAACGACCGUUGUAACUAAUCUCUUAAACAUUGGAUAUCGGAAAAGACGUAAUUUAUACUGACAAUAAUGUUUGAAUAACUACUUAUCACGGAUUCAUAUCUCGAUCACGAACUGAAGCUGAUCACUAACAAAAGACUGAGCGGAAUAGAGCGUAAAGACUGCGGAUUGCGGAUGCAUUUCUAGCAAAAUUAGAAUUUUAUAAAAAGAAUCAUGAAACACUUGACCGAAUCAAAACUCGUUGCGAAUCGGUAACGAAAGUUGGUCAACAUCAGAAUUUCUCUGUUUUAUGGAGCGAACAGAAAUGGCAUUCAUCACUUCAUAAAAGCUGUUUCACUGCUAUCUCUGUGUAUUCGAAUGAAAGAUUCCAAGUAUCUUUUCCGAUUUGUUGACAAAAAGUAAAUGUGCAAAGCUAAUAAUGGACAGAGUGAAUCAAUAAGAUUAACCUUAUAAAAUGUAGUUGAUUAUGUUCACAAGGGAGAAGAAAGAAACGAAUAUAGAGUGGAUAGAGUGCGAAUUAAGAUUUACUGCGAAAGUUGAAAGGAAGGAAGGAAGGAAUUCAUCGAUCUAAUUAAUUAUUCUUCCAUUUCGUUAACUGAGUAUUUAAGUGUUGUUUAGUAUGUACUGGAUCGUAUUAAUUCUUGCAUAAAUCCAAAUUCGAUGAAGGAAAAUAUUUUGUAAGUACCUCGAAAAUUGAGGUCAACUAUAAAUUUUUUCAAACGGCAGGAUUAUUUAAAAUGUUAAUUUCUGUCAGCAGCGUCGAUGAAAAUUCAU